CCCCCCACUCAAGUAUCCUUUUGUGCUACUUGGAUUGCUUUGGAGAGGUGCUUCUUGAUAAGAGUCGCCCUCCAGAAAUUUAUAGGCAGUAUGGUUUGCACCUGAACCAGACGUAAUAAUAAUAAAAUCGUUUGUUUGGGUAUAAUUGUGCUUGCCUUAUAACCCACCCAUUUUUACCUU
Molecule: unclassified non-coding RNA, 180 nt
Filed under: uncultured Peziza
Lineage: Eukaryota; Fungi; Ascomycota; Pezizomycetes; Pezizales; Pezizaceae
Description: sequence contains ITS2
Source: RNAcentral